CUUUUGAAGAAUGAGCCAACGAGUUACGGUGUGUGGCAAGGUUAACCCGAUGAGGGGAAGCCGGAGCGAAAGCGAGUCUGAACAGGGCGUUCAGUCGCAUGCCGUAGACCCGAAGCCGAGUGAGCUAUCCAUGGGCAGUGUGAAGCGGAGGUAAGACUCUGUGGAGGCGCGAACCGACUUCAGUUGAAAAUGGAGCGGAUGACCUGUGGAUAGGGGUGAAAGGCCAAUCAAACUCGGUGAUAGCUGGUUCUCCGCGAAAUGCAUUUAGGUGCAGCGUCGUGCGUUCAACGAUGGGGGUAGAGCACUGAAUGGGCUAGGGGUCCUACAAGACUACCGACCCCAAUCAAACUCCGAAUACCAUCGUUCCAGAGCACGGCAGUGAGACCUCGGGGGAUGAGCUUCGAGGUCGAGAGGGAAACAGCCCAGACCGCCGGCUAAGGUCCCAAAAUCUGAACUAAGUGGUAAACGAUGUGAGAUUGCGAAGACAGCCAGGAGGUUGGCUUGGAAGCAGCCAUCCUUGAAAGAGUGCGUAACAGCUCACUGGUCGAGUGAUCUUGCGCGGACAAUGUAACGGGGCUCAAGUUCAGUACCGAAGCCGCGGAUGCGACUCUUUGAGUCGUGUGGUAGCGGAGCGUCGAGCGUGCAGCGAAGCGGCGGGACAACCCAGCCGUGGAGCGCGUUCGAGUGCGAAUGUUGGCAUGAGUAGCGAAUGAGGGGUGAGAACCCCCUCCGCCGUAUGUCCAAGGGUUCCUGGGCGAGGCCAAUCCUCCCAGGGUGAGUCGGGAGCUAAGGCGAGGCCGAGAGGCGUAGUCGAUGCACAACUGGUUGAUAUUCCAGUACCACCAUGUUCGCGUCCGUCCCAAUACUCUGUUGCUAAGGGGCUGUGUUGACUUCGGUCAACGCGAACCGACCCACAUUGUUGCGGGAAGCUGUAGGGGGACGCAGGAAGGUAGAUGAACCCGGUGAAUGGUAGAACCGGGGUAAGCGUGUAGGAGGAGGACCAGGUAAAUCCGGGCCUCAUAAACUCUGAGACGUGAUACCGAGCCGCUUCAGGCGAAGUCAUUGAUCCUAUGCUGCCUAGAAAAGCCCAGCAGCGAGUUGACAUGGUGCCCGUACCCCAAACCAACACAGGUGGACAGGUAGAGCAUACCAAGGCGAGUGGGAUAACUAUGGUUAAGGAACUCGGCAAAUUGCCUCCGUAACUUCGGGAGAAGGAGGACCCCAGUAGCGUGAUGAGACUUGCUCUCUGAGCGUGAAGGGGUGGCACAAAAUUGAGGGAAGCGACUGUUUACCAAAAACACAGCAGCGUGCUAAGCCGUAAGGCGCUGUAUACGCUGUGACUCCUGCCCGGUGCUGGAAGGUUACGGGGAUGGGUUAGUCCUUCGGGACGAAGCUCUGAACCUAAGCCCCAGUAAACGGCGGCCGUAACUAUAACGGUCCUAAGGUAGCGAAAUUCCUUGUCGGGUAAGUUCCGACCUGCACGAAUGGAGUAACGACUUCCCUACUGUCUCAACCAUAGACCCAGCGAAAUUGAAGUACGAGUAAAGAUGCUCGUUAGCCGCAGAAGGACGGAAAGACCCCGUGGACCUUUACUAUAACUUGAUGUUGUGUUUC
RNAcentral lists this ribosomal RNA (1614 nucleotides) under metagenome. RNAcentral's name for it is "bacterial LSU rRNA". It matches the Rfam family "Bacterial large subunit ribosomal RNA", at positions 605 to 2125 of the family's 2925-position model. The record is from RNAcentral.